CCUACGGGUGGCAGCAGUGGGGAAUAUUGCACAAUGGGGGAAACCCUGAUGCAGCAACGCCGCGUGAAUGAAGACGGUUUUCGGAUUGUAAACUUCUGUUAUCAGUGAAGAAUAAUGACGGUAGCUAAAGAGCAAGCCACGGCUAACUACGUGCCAGCAGCCGCGGUAAUACGUAGGUGGCAAGCGUUGUCCGGAAUUACUGGGUGUAAAGGGAGCGCAGGCGGGAAACCAAGUCAGCUGUGAAAACUAUGGGCUUAACUUGUAGACUGCAGUUGAAACUGGUUUACUUGAGUGAAGGAGAGGUAAGUGGAAUUCCGAGUGUAGCGGUGAAAUGCGUAGAGAUUCGGAGGAACACCGGUGGCGAAGGCGGCCAACUGGGCUGUAACUGACGCUGAGGCUUGAGAGUGUGGGGAGCAAACAGGAUUAGAUACCCGAGUAGUC
This 441-nucleotide ribosomal RNA is filed under the name uncultured bacterium. RNAcentral describes it as "partial 16S ribosomal RNA". It matches the Rfam family "Bacterial small subunit ribosomal RNA", at positions 338 to 795 of the family's 1533-position model. The record is from RNAcentral.